CCUACGGGGGGCAGCAGUGGGGAAUAUUGGACAAUGGGGGCAACCCUGAUCCAGCCAUGCCGCGUGUGUGAAGAAGGCCCUCGGGUUGUAAAGCACUUUCAGUGAGGAAGAACGCCUGGUGGUUAAUACCCAUCAGGAAAGACAUCACUCACAGAAGAAGCACCGGCUAACUCCGUGCCAACAGCCGCGGUAAUACGGAGGGUGCGAGCGUUAAUCGGAAUUACUGGGCGUAAAGCGCGCGUAGGUGGCUUGAUAAGCCGGUUGUGAAAGCCCCGGGCUCAACCUGGGAACGGCAUCCGGAACUGUCAAGCUAGAGUGCAGGAGAGGAAGGUAGAAUUCCCGGUGUAGCGGUGAAAUGCGUAGAGAUCGGGAGGAAUACCAGUGGCGAAGGCGGCCUUCUGGACUGACACUGACACUGAGGUGCGAAAGCGUGGGUAGCAAACAGGAUUAGAUACCCCUGUAGUC
This 465-nucleotide ribosomal RNA is filed under the name Vreelandella stevensii. RNAcentral's name for it is "partial 16S ribosomal RNA". It matches the Rfam family "Bacterial small subunit ribosomal RNA", at positions 338 to 795 of the family's 1533-position model. Lineage: Bacteria; Pseudomonadati; Pseudomonadota; Gammaproteobacteria; Oceanospirillales; Halomonadaceae. The record is from RNAcentral.